GGCUAAGUCGUAACAAGGUAGCCGUACCGGAAGGUGCGGCUGGAACACCUCCUUUCUGGAGUUC
Molecule: ribosomal RNA, 64 nt
Filed under: Porphyromonadaceae bacterium
Lineage: Bacteria; Pseudomonadati; Bacteroidota; Bacteroidia; Bacteroidales; Porphyromonadaceae
Description: partial 16S ribosomal RNA
Rfam family: Bacterial small subunit ribosomal RNA (bases 1-55)
Source: RNAcentral